RNAcentral lists this ribosomal RNA (439 nucleotides) under uncultured bacterium. RNAcentral describes it as "partial 16S ribosomal RNA". It matches the Rfam family "Bacterial small subunit ribosomal RNA", at positions 339 to 795 of the family's 1533-position model. The record is from RNAcentral.
CUACGGGAGGCACCAGUGAGGAAUAUUGCACAAUGGGGGGAACCCUGAUGCAGCAACGCCGCGUGGAGGAUGACGCAUUUCGGUGUGUAAACUCCUUUUAUAUGUCAAGAAAAUGACGGUAGCAUAUGAAUAAGCACCGGCUAACUCCGUGCCAGCAGCCGCGGUAAUACGGAGGGUGCAAGCGUUACUCGGAAUCACUGGGCGUAAAGGACGCGCAGGCGGGUUGGAAGGUCAGGUGUGAAAUCCUACAGCUUAACUGUAGAACUGCACUUGAAACUUCUAAUCUAGAGUAUGGGAGGGGGAGAUGGAAUUAGUGGUGUAGGGGUAAAAUCCGUAGAUAUCACUAGGAAUACCUAAAGCGAAGGCGAUCUCCUGGAACAUUACUGUCGCUAAGGCGUGAAAGCGUGGGGAGCAAACAGGAUUAGAUACCCCUGUAGUC